RNAcentral lists this ribosomal RNA (237 nucleotides) under uncultured bacterium. Its description in RNAcentral is "partial 16S ribosomal RNA". It matches the Rfam family "Bacterial small subunit ribosomal RNA", at positions 15 to 236 of the family's 1533-position model. The record is from RNAcentral.
GAUAUGGUCAGGAUGAACGCUGGCGGCGUGCUUAACACAUGCAAGUCGAGCGAAGCACUUAGGAAAGAUUCUUCGGAUGAUUUCCUAUUUGACUGAGCGGCGGACGGGUGAGUAACGCGUGGGUAACCUGCCUCAUACAGGGGGAUAACAGUUAGAAAUGACUGCUAAUACCGCAUAAGACCACAGCACUGCAUGGUGCAGGGGUAAAAACUCCGGUGGUAUGAGAUGGACCCGCGU